Molecule: long non-coding RNA, 1474 nt
Organism: Xiphophorus couchianus (Monterrey platyfish)
Lineage: Eukaryota; Metazoa; Chordata; Actinopteri; Cyprinodontiformes; Poeciliidae
Exons: 4
Source: RefSeq, a predicted model, not a curated record
UUUUUUUGAAAAGUUGUAGGUUUUGUUUAUUUAUUGUUUGGUAUGUUUCAGCUUCCUCGUGUUUUUGUACAGGAAGUCAGUGAAGAUGUAGCACCGUGACUACGGCUUUGAUUACUGGGGAGACGGAACUGAAGUUACUGUUAAACCAGGUGAUUCCCCUCAGACUCCGUCCCUCUUCGUCCUCAGUCCUCUGUCGACUCCUGACUUCCCCCUGAAGACAGCAGACGAGCUCGGUCCAAACGUCUGUCUGGUCACAGAUUUCCGUCCAAAGGGGGGAGAAGUGGUUCUGAAUGGAAAAGGGGGUCCUGUCAACGUGAGCACUGAUGAUGCCGUUCUGUCAAAGGACAACACCUACAACUUUGCUGCAUUCAGCAACGAAACCAUCUACUCCUGUGGGAUGAACGGGACCUUUGGCAACAAUGAAGCUGAUGAUGAAUGUGGCAGCAUUUAUCCAGAAAAAGCCAAGCUGAACUUCUAUCUGCUGCUGAUGAACGGAGUCCGAGUGGUGUUCACCAAAGCUCUGGCCUUCAGCACCGUCCUCACCAUCAGAGGCCUGCUCUUCUGAAACUGAGCCUUUCAGGCUACCAUAGUCUGUCAGAAGCCCACCAAUAUGUUGAAGUCAUGCAGCAGAAGACUCAUUUUGUUUGGCAUAACUGAGAAUCAAAUUACCGUAGAUACACAGAAACUAUACAAUAUUGUUUUUUUUUCUUCAAUUUACAAAUGUUUACUUUUACAAUUGAAAUGUGCUUAUUUUUAAACCUAUCAGAUGCAGCAGUGGUGCAGAGGUAAAGCUUGCAAUGCAUCUAUGUGACCCUCACAAAUUUGAGCCUUGCCAAAUGUCUUCCCUCUCUUUUCCUGUCCACUCACUGUUAAAUAAAGGCUUCCAGAACCAAAUAACCCUUUUAAAACAAUUUAUUCAAUUUACAUCCCACAAAAUCACACUUUCUGAAUCCAGAAAAGUGUAAUUGUUUUGAAGAUUGAGUUCUGAAAUAUGAAUGUAUUUUUGUAUUUUGGUCUUUCAUAUCAAAAUAAUUCGCUUUUUUGUCUGUCUUCAUCUUUAUUUUAUUCUGUAAACAUACCUACCUUCCUCAUUUAACUCUGUUCAAAGACUUUUUUCAGUCAUCAUGCAGACCCCACAUUUAGGUUAUUCAGGUUAUUUCCAGUAAUAAAUGAACUCGAUGAUGCAGAAACCCCAGUGAGAGAUCAGCCUCACAUCAGAGAUUUUAGCAGAGACGUUUCAUCAGUUAAACCCACGCAGCAUCAACAGGAAGCUGACAGAAACUAAACAUCAGCUCAGUUUCACAUGUACAGAAAAUACUGUGGUUAGUUUGAGCUCCGCUUGAGUUUUCUGGCCACACAGUGUACAUAAUCAUUUCACAUCUGUUGACUUUUGUCACAGCAGGCUUACACAGCAGCUCAUGUCUACUAAUCAGAUAUUGUGUAUUGUUCUCAUUAAAAAGAGCCACAUCCUUCA